This 411-nucleotide ribosomal RNA is filed under the name Conasprella boholensis. Its description in RNAcentral is "partial 16S ribosomal RNA". It matches the Rfam family "Bacterial large subunit ribosomal RNA", at positions 1845 to 2527 of the family's 2925-position model. The record is from RNAcentral. Lineage: Eukaryota; Metazoa; Mollusca; Gastropoda; Neogastropoda; Conidae.
AUAUGAAGUCGGGCCUGCCCAGUGAGUUUAUUCAACGGCCGCGGUACCCUGACCGUGCAAAGGUAGCAUAAUACUUGCCUUAUAAUUGAAGGCUGGAAUGAAUGGUUUGACAAGAAUGUAGCUGUCUCAUUAUAAUUUAAUAGAAUUUUAUUUUAGGAUGAAAAAGUCCUAGUUAAAUUAAAAGACAAGAAGACCCUAUCGAGCUUGAAGUUAAUUGAUAAAGAAUUAAUACUUAUAAAAGUUGUUAUCAAAAAUUUUGGUUGGGGCAACUAAGGAGCAAAAAAAGCCUCUUUUUAAAAAUUAUACACACUAGUAAGGAUCCAAUAAUUUUGAUCAAAGAAAAUAGUUACCGUAGGGAUAACAGCAUUAUCUUUUUUGAGAGCCCUUAUCGAAAAAAAGGUUUGUGACCUC